GAGCCCCUGGUGGCUGGAGGUUGAUCCUCUCUCUAUUCUGUGCUCAGCUUAGCAUUCCUUUGGCUCUUUCUGAAUCAGUGAUUAAUGUUUGCCUUUAUAGCUCAGAGAAAUUUGUCAUCUUGAGAUUAGUAAUAUGUCAGCGGCGUGUGCCCUACCUACAGCACAAGCUAGCUGUGGGGACUGCAAGGAUCAGGCACGGUGCCUGUCUUGGUAUCUACAAGAGUAAGGAGCACCUUCUUCUCACCCCUACAAAGCGCUGCCCAGAGAUGAGAGCGGCCGUUGUUUAUCGGACAUUAGCUUUUACUCAUUUCCAAGGGAAACGCUGGAAAGGAAAACAAAUGAAUGAAUGCUGCUUAGUCACAACCCUGGGGGAAAUUGGAGGUGCCACUACAUGGAAAGUCAACAAAGAGUCUUCAGCCAUCUUCUCCAUUACACUAUCAUUUAUUCUGUAAGGGCGGGAUGCCAAACUCCUGUGCUUGUCACAUCAGAACCAAGACUCCCACUGGCACAGCAUGACCAGCCGAAGAGAGCCUCUGAAUUCUCGGGAAAGUUCCCUUCCUGAGAUGUCUGGACUUGCCAGAAGCCUUUCUCUCAAGCUAAUGUUAAAAGCAGGGCUAAAGGGUCAGCUACAGCUGAAUUCAAAUCCUUGGUCACCCUCUUGUCAUUGGAUAAAUGAUUUAAAUAACUUACUUGAUCAAUAGGACCCUCAGUGUCCUUUUUUAACAAAUGAGAACAAAAAUGCUAUUUGCUUCCAGAGGUUGUUUGGGAUUAAGCUGAUUAGUCUAGACAAUGGGUGCCUGGACCGAAUUAAGUCUUCAACCAUGUUAGUUACUACUGUUUUGCCUUUCCAUGAAGGCCCCUCUGUGAAGCUUCCUCCUCGCAUGAGAUAGCUAAUUCAAUAUUAUCAGGCAUGGAGUUCCUCCGGAUGGACCCCUCCCUCACAAUCAGAAGUUUGUGAAACCAGGAGUUGAAACUGCAGGAUUCGGCU
RNAcentral lists this long non-coding RNA (988 nucleotides) under Cricetulus griseus (Chinese hamster). Its description in RNAcentral is "lncRNA (ENSCGRG00015039575.1)". The record is from RNAcentral. Lineage: Eukaryota; Metazoa; Chordata; Mammalia; Rodentia; Cricetidae.